Molecule: ribosomal RNA, 253 nt
Filed under: uncultured bacterium
Lineage: Bacteria
Description: partial 16S ribosomal RNA
Rfam family: Bacterial small subunit ribosomal RNA
Source: RNAcentral
UACGUAGGGGGCGAGCGUUGUCCGGAAUUAUUGGGCGUAAAGAGCGUGUAGGCUGUUCGGUAAGUCUGCCGUGAAAACCUGAGGCUCAACCUCGGGCGUGCGGUGGAUACUGCCGGGCUAGAGGACGGUAGAGGCGAGUGGAAUUCCCGGUGUAGCGGUGAAAUGCGCAGAUAUCGGGAGGAACACCGGUGGCGAAGGCGGGACUCUGGGCCGAUACUGACGCUGAGGAGCGAAAGCGUGGGGAGCAAACAGG